UUCUGAACGGUGGAUCACUUGGCUCGUAGAUCGAUGACGAACGAUGUGAGAUUCGAUAGCGAGCGUGAAUUGCAAACUCACUGAACGUUGAUGUUUUGAACGCACAUGGCAGCGUCGAAGUUACUUGUCGACGCUACGUCUGGCUGAGGGUC
RNAcentral lists this ribosomal RNA (152 nucleotides) under Eucoleus aerophilus. RNAcentral's name for it is "5.8S ribosomal RNA". It matches the Rfam family "5.8S ribosomal RNA". From Rfam's summary of the family: 5.8S ribosomal RNA (5.8S rRNA) is a component of the large subunit of the eukaryotic ribosome. It is transcribed by RNA polymerase I as part of the 45S precursor that also contains 18S and 28S rRNA. Functionally, it is thought that 5.8S rRNA may be involved in ribosome translocation. The record is from RNAcentral. Lineage: Eukaryota; Metazoa; Nematoda; Enoplea; Trichinellida; Capillariidae.